Etheostoma cragini (Arkansas darter) is the source of this 123-nucleotide long non-coding RNA. RefSeq lists it as uncharacterized. The record is from RefSeq and is a predicted model, not a curated record. Lineage: Eukaryota; Metazoa; Chordata; Actinopteri; Perciformes; Percidae. The transcript has 3 exons.
CUUCCAAAAUGGCGUGUAAAUGUGAGAGUGAAAGAGAGCGGGAAUGUCCCAUAACAAUAUCAAAUCAUUGUAGCAGUCACAAGUGUUCGUUCCCCUCUGCCACGUCAGUGCAAAGGCACGUUC